This 279-nucleotide long non-coding RNA is filed under the name Lathyrus oleraceus (garden pea). Its description in RNAcentral is "Pisum sativum (pea) long non-coding RNA (PSAT_LNC015956)". Lineage: Eukaryota; Viridiplantae; Streptophyta; Magnoliopsida; Fabales; Fabaceae. The record is from RNAcentral.
GACAAAUCAUUGUUGUAUUGUUGUUGUGCAUGAGAAGACGAAUCGAAUGAUGUAUCGUUUGUUGAUUUUGAGGAAAAAUGUUCAUGACCUGGAUUUUUGAUGAAGAACAGUUUGAAUGUAUGAAGAACACGUUUCCAGAUCGUGUUUGAUUCAUUUGGCCGUGCUGUUGCAUGUAUUUUCUGUUUGUUCGCCAUGUAGCCAAUUGCCAUGCGCCACCUCAUUAAAUGAAACUAUGCGUUUCAUGUAAGUGGCGCCAGUUUUGAAUAGAAACACGGUUCG